Molecule: ribosomal RNA, 496 nt
Filed under: uncultured bacterium
Lineage: Bacteria
Description: partial 16S ribosomal RNA
Rfam family: Bacterial small subunit ribosomal RNA
Source: RNAcentral
AUGAACGCUGGCGGCGUGCCUAAUACCUGCCAGUCGAGCGAACGGACGAGAAGCUUGCUUCCCUGAUGUUAGCGGCGGACGGGUGAGUAACACGUGGAUAACCUACCUAUAAGACUGGGAUAACUUCGGGAAACCGUAGCUAAUACCGGAUAAUAUUUUGAACCGCCUGGUUCAAAAGUGAAAGACGGUCUUGCUGUCACUUAUAGAUGGAUCCGCGCUGCAUUAGCUAGUUGGUAAGGUAACGGCUUACCAAGGCAACGAUGCAUAGCCGACCUGAGAGGGUGAUCGGCCACACUGGAACUGAGACACGGUCCAGACUCCUACGGGAGGCAGCAGUAGGGAAUCUUCCGCAAUGGGCGAAAGCCUGACGGAGCAACGCCGCGUGAGUGAUGAAGGUCUUCGGAUCGUAAAACUCUGUUAUUAGGGAAGAACAUAUGUGUAAGUAACUGUGCACAUCUUGACGGUACCUAAUCAGAAAGCCACGGCUAACUACGUG